This 282-nucleotide ribosomal RNA is filed under the name uncultured bacterium. RNAcentral describes it as "partial 16S ribosomal RNA". It matches the Rfam family "Bacterial small subunit ribosomal RNA", at positions 773 to 1060 of the family's 1533-position model. The record is from RNAcentral.
GUGGAUUAGAUACCCUGGUAGUCCACACGGUAAACGAUGAAUACUCGCUGUUGGCGAUAUAAUGUCAGCGGCCAAGCGAAAGCAUUAAGUAUUCCACCUGGGGAGUACGCCGGCAACGGUGAAACUCAAAGGAAUUGACGGGGGCCCGCACAAGCGGAGGAACAUGUGGUUUAAUUCGAUGAUACGCGAGGAACCUUACCCGGGCUUAAAUUGCACUGGACAGGCCAAGAGAUUGGUUUUUCUUCGGACCAGUGUGAAGGUGCUGCACGGCCGUCGUCCACU